Molecule: transfer RNA, 71 nt
Filed under: Marmota monax (woodchuck)
Lineage: Eukaryota; Metazoa; Chordata; Mammalia; Rodentia; Sciuridae
Description: tRNA.Ala
Source: RNAcentral
GAGGUUGUGGUUCAGCAGCACAGUGCUCGCCUAGCAAGUGAGAGGCUCUGGGUUCGAUCCUCAGCACCACA